RNAcentral lists this ribosomal RNA (440 nucleotides) under uncultured bacterium. Its description in RNAcentral is "partial 16S ribosomal RNA". It matches the Rfam family "Bacterial small subunit ribosomal RNA", at positions 338 to 795 of the family's 1533-position model. The record is from RNAcentral.
CCUACGGGACGCAGCAGUGGGGAAUAUUGCACAAUGGGGGAAACCCUGAUGCAGCGAAGCCGCGUGAGUGAAGACGUAUCUCGGUACGUAAAGCUCUAUCAGCAGGGAAGAAAAUGACGGUACCUGCCUAAGAAGCCCCGGCUAACUAAGGUCCAGCAGCGGCGGUAAUACGUAGGGGGCAAGCGUUAUACGGAUUUACUGGGUGUAAAGGGAGCGUAGACGGCAGCACAAGUCUGGAGUGAAAUCCCGGGGCUUAACCCCGGAACUGCUUUGGAAACUGUGCGGCUGGAGUGCAGGAGGGGUAAGCGGAAUUCCUAGUGUAGCGGUGAAAUGCUUAGAUAUUAGGAGGAACACCGGUGGCGAAGGCGGCUUACUGGACUGUAACUGACGUUGAGGCUCGAAAGCGUGGGGAGCAAACAGGAUUAGAUACCCUUGUAGUC